RNAcentral lists this long non-coding RNA (386 nucleotides) under Malus domestica (apple). RNAcentral describes it as "long non-coding RNA (MDOM_LNC019326)". The record is from RNAcentral. Lineage: Eukaryota; Viridiplantae; Streptophyta; Magnoliopsida; Rosales; Rosaceae.
GUGUGGAGCCAAAAAUAUUCACUAGGCGACACGUGGACUUUUGGACAAAAGAGGACAAAAAUACCCUCGAGGCAUACCGGGUUUCCUACACGCGAGCAGUAGAGAAUCAUUUUUUCAACCAAGUCAAAAGUGCCCAAAAUAGGUAUCAACUUAAAACCUAAUUUAUUCAUAUAUUUCCCAUUUCAUUAUUUAGCUAAUCAAUUAGCUAAAUAAUAUACUUAUUCCUUUCAUAUUUCAUAAAAUCAUAAUAAUUGACUAAUUAAGGGAUUAAUUACCUAAUCAAUCCCUUAAUUGUCAAUUUGAAACAUCCACUCAAACCUAAAAACACAAGAGGGCCGGCUAUCCCAUUGAAAAACCUAAUCCAUUACCUUUUUUCUACCUUUUCC